GUGUCAGCCGCCGCGGUAAUACAGAGGGUGCAAGCGUUGUUCGGAAUUAUUGGGCGUAAAGCGCGUGUAGGCGGCUUGGUAAGUCGGGUGUGAAAUCCCUCAGCUCAACUGAGGAAGUGCGCCCGAAACUGCUUGGCUUGAGUACUGGAGAGGAUGGCGGAAUUCCCCAAGUAGAGGUGAAAUUCGUAGAUAUGGGGAGGAACACCGGUGGCGAAGGCGGCCAUCUGGACAGUCACUGACGCUGAGACGCGAAAGCGUGGGUAGCAAACAGGAUUAGAUACCCUGGUAGUCCACGCCGUAAACGAUGAGAACUAGGUGUCGUGGGUGUUGACCCCUGCGGUGCCGUAGCUAACGCAUUAAGUUCUCCGCCUGGGAAGUACGGCCGCAAGGCUAAA
This 395-nucleotide ribosomal RNA is filed under the name uncultured bacterium. Its description in RNAcentral is "bacterial SSU rRNA". It matches the Rfam family "Bacterial small subunit ribosomal RNA", at positions 505 to 898 of the family's 1533-position model. The record is from RNAcentral.